CAAAGAUGGAACAAUGUGGUUUCUAUGGGAAGGUAUAACUAAAUGAGCUUUAAUGCCAUUUUUGUUUGUUUGUUUAUUUGUUUAUUAACUUGUUCAUUAUUUCCAGUUGUAGAUACUCCUGGGUGUCUGAUCAAUCAUCUCCCCAGACGUGCAAAUGUUACCCCUACCAGGUUUUUGUUAGAGAAAACAUUUUUACUCUGCUGUAGAAGUAAUAAUUACCUGAUCUUAAGUGCAGAAAACAAAGAAAAAGAUGUUGUUUCUGGUUGUUCAUCAAGAAAAUUAAAUGCUGAGGAACGGGAUGUGGGAGAGAAGAGAUGCACAUUGCUACCCAAGAGCAACAGGGGAAACUCACCAACAAAGUAUUCUGCUGCUCCAUCUGGCCUUCAUCCUAAGAGGACACCUAUUCACCCCAGGAAAAUGUUAUUAGGCUAGAGCUAUAAUUCAUAGAAUAAUGCAUUUUUGGAGCACGGUAUAUUGUUUUUCACAAAUGUGCAAAUGUCUUUGAGAUUUUGAAUAAAUUCAGAUUCUGAAUAACUUUUGGAUGCUGU
Molecule: long non-coding RNA, 548 nt
Filed under: Coturnix japonica (Japanese quail)
Lineage: Eukaryota; Metazoa; Chordata; Aves; Galliformes; Phasianidae
Description: lncRNA (ENSCJPG00005015548.1)
Source: RNAcentral